This 446-nucleotide unclassified non-coding RNA is filed under the name Homo sapiens (human). RNAcentral describes it as "TBC1 domain family member 9B (ENSG00000284400.2)". Lineage: Eukaryota; Metazoa; Chordata; Mammalia; Primates; Hominidae. The record is from RNAcentral.
AGGUGACCAUUGUCGAAAAAGCUGACAGCUCCAGCGUGCUGCCCAGCCCCCUGUCCAUCAGCACCAAAAGCAAAAUGACAUUCCUGUUUGCCAACCUGAAAGACCGUGAUUUCUUGGUGCAGAGGAUCUCUGACUUCCUCCAGAAAACACCAUCCAAGCAGCCAGGCAGUAUCGGGAGCAGGAAAGCCAGUGUUGUGGACCCUAGCACAGAGCCACACACCCGGUACUCCUCACUCCUGCUGGGCCCAUUGCCCAUGAGGAACCUUCUCUGGCUGUCCUUUCUGCAUUGCUGCUGCACUCAGAGCAAAGCCACACUGUGGAGGCCUGUACACUUCGGCUUUGUUCCCAUGACCUUCCCUGCCAGGCGUUCAGGCUGAAGUUCUUGACGGUAGAACUGCAGUAUCACUAUUGUACCAGCAAACUUAACAAGAAUUCCUUAAUAUCAC